Molecule: unclassified non-coding RNA, 207 nt
Filed under: soil metagenome
Description: partial contains 5.8S ribosomal RNA, internal transcribed spacer 2, and large subunit ribosomal RNA
Source: RNAcentral
AACCAUAGAAACCUGCGGAGUACCUGCGGAAGGAUCAUUACCGAGUUCACAACUCCCAAACCCCUGUGAACAUACCACUUGUUGCCUCGGCGGAUCAGCCCGCUCCCGGUAAAACGGGACGGCCCGCCAGAGGACCCCUAAACUCUGUUUCUAUAUGUAACUUCUGAGUAAAACCAUAAAUAAAUCAAAACUUUCAACAACGGAUCU